Molecule: long non-coding RNA, 317 nt
Organism: Pogoniulus pusillus (Red-fronted tinkerbird)
Lineage: Eukaryota; Metazoa; Chordata; Aves; Piciformes; Lybiidae
Exons: 3
Source: RefSeq, a predicted model, not a curated record
UUCCAGAGUCCCUAAGAAAACUACAAAGACCAAGAUCCAUCCCAGGAGAUGAACUGGACGCCCUCAGAUACUGCAAUUACGUUACUCCAUCCCAUAAUCCUGCUAAUACUUCACAAGAGAUCUGAUGAAAAGAAGAUUUGAGUUUAAACAAGAUUGGAGAGAAGGUUUUUGAGAUGAAGCACAAAAAAACCCAAGUUGACAUCUGCCCUGCUUCAAUCAGGCUUUAAUCAGGCUGAGCUGCUCGGUUUAAGCAUGAGAAUGAAAGAUGUCUGUUGAAAACUCAUCAUAUUUCCUCAACUCAGAAUUGCAUCUUCCAG